RNAcentral lists this transfer RNA (72 nucleotides) under Ovis aries (sheep). It matches the Rfam family "tRNA". From Rfam's summary of the family: Transfer RNA (tRNA) molecules are approximately 80 nucleotides in length. Their secondary structure includes four short double-helical elements and three loops (D, anti-codon, and T loops). The record is from Rfam by way of RNAcentral. Lineage: Eukaryota; Metazoa; Chordata; Mammalia; Artiodactyla; Bovidae.
UCCCUGGUCGCUUAGAUGGUAAAGCGUCUGCCUACAAUGUGGGAGACCCAGGUUCAAUCCCUGGGUUGGGAA